GGCGAGAUAGCUCAGUUGGUAGAGCACACGACUGAAAAUCGUGGUGUCCCGAGUUCGAGUCUCGGUCUCGCCA
This 73-nucleotide transfer RNA is filed under the name Solirubrobacter taibaiensis. RNAcentral's name for it is "tRNA-Phe". It matches the Rfam family "tRNA". From Rfam's summary of the family: Transfer RNA (tRNA) molecules are approximately 80 nucleotides in length. Their secondary structure includes four short double-helical elements and three loops (D, anti-codon, and T loops). RNAcentral also lists the same sequence under 3 other names. The record is from RNAcentral. Lineage: Bacteria; Bacillati; Actinomycetota; Thermoleophilia; Solirubrobacterales; Solirubrobacteraceae.